UCACAGAUACCCACGGUCCCCGG
This 23-nucleotide non-coding RNA is filed under the name Arabidopsis thaliana (thale cress). Lineage: Eukaryota; Viridiplantae; Streptophyta; Magnoliopsida; Brassicales; Brassicaceae. The record is from RNAcentral.